Molecule: non-coding RNA, 157 nt
Filed under: bovine gut metagenome
Source: RNAcentral
CAGGUUCUGAACAGAAUAAUAGGGAACGCUGUGAGAAUCAGCGGCUAUGCCCGUAGCUGUAAGCUCCAGUUUGCGCCUCCUCCAGAAUGUCACUGACUUUUUUCGGAGUCGGGAAGGCGGAAGAGGCGGGAGCGAGCCAGAAGACCUGCCUGGAUCC